GGGAGGUGGAGGAAUUGAUCAGGCAUCUGGAUGGCCAAAGGGAACACGUGCUGAGAGGAAGUUUUAGGCUCUCUUUUUCCACUGAUUGCUACCUCUUUCCUCACGUUCUCCUUCUCCAUUGAUUCAAAUGGCCGUGAGCCCAGCCCUCCCUUCUCACUUGGCUGUAGAGCUGGAAUCUAUGCUCACAAUGUAGAAAUGGGAAGUGCAAGUCUGGCUGGAGCAGGGUUGGCUGAAGGCUAUAGUUAAACCAUGUUUACUUAUAAACCUGUCCAUGUUGGAGGCCAAGCAGCAGGAAGCCAAGAAAAGACCCAACUCUGGUUUGAAGACCCUGGGGAAGAGUUGCAAAAAUAACACCUGCAGGUGUGGAAGGCUGUUCAGUGAUCCCCGGUGUGCAGAAGGCCAUGAAGAAAUUAUGAGAUUAGAGAUCGAGAGAGUGACGGCAGCUGCCUUUCAGCAGCUUUCCCCUGUUGCCUCGAGAAUAAUUCAACUCUAGCAGACUUACUUAAGGCCUGGGAAAAUAGUGCAAAGUGAAGAAAGGGAUAGAAAUGGUUGUUAUUUGCCCUAGGGUGAGAGGAAGUGUUUGAGCUUUCCCUAGGAUAUUGAGAAGUACAUGGCUGAGCAAAUCAUAUUUGGAAAGUAGGAGAACAUACUUCUGUACUUUGCAUUUUUCUAGGAGAAAAAAUGAAUCUACCUAAACAUUGAGAGCAUCUUAGGUAAUUUAUGGGGAGCAUUAGCAAAGCCAGGAAAGCUUGCAAACCAGACUAAACACCUCUAAGUUUUAAGAGUGUGCAGAGAAUAUAAUGAAGAAAUAAUAAAUGAAGAUUAAUGGCU
RNAcentral lists this long non-coding RNA (831 nucleotides) under Homo sapiens (human). RNAcentral describes it as "HSALNT0150858". The record is from RNAcentral. Lineage: Eukaryota; Metazoa; Chordata; Mammalia; Primates; Hominidae.